UACAGAGGGUGCGAGCGUUGUUCGGAAUUACUGGGCGUAAAGCGCGCGCAGGCGGCUCUUUAAGUCUCAGGGUGAAAGACCGGGGCUCAACCCCGUGUCAGCCCGGGAUCCUGGGGAGCUAGGGACAUGUAGGGGCGAGCGGAAUUCCGGGUGUAGCGGUGGAAUGCGUAGAGAUCCGGAAGAACACCGGUGGCGAAGGCGGCCCGCUGGGCAGGAAGGCUCGCAAGAGCCGGCUGACGCUGAGGCGCGACAGCGUGGGGAGCAAACAGG
This 270-nucleotide ribosomal RNA is filed under the name uncultured bacterium. Its description in RNAcentral is "partial 16S ribosomal RNA". It matches the Rfam family "Bacterial small subunit ribosomal RNA", at positions 524 to 776 of the family's 1533-position model. The record is from RNAcentral.